RNAcentral lists this ribosomal RNA (253 nucleotides) under uncultured bacterium. RNAcentral describes it as "partial 16S ribosomal RNA". It matches the Rfam family "Bacterial small subunit ribosomal RNA", at positions 524 to 776 of the family's 1533-position model. The record is from RNAcentral.
UACGUAGGGUGCAAGCGUUAAUCGGAAUUACUGGGCGUAAAGCGUGCGCAGGCGGCGGCUCAAGUCAGGUGUGAAAUCCCCGGGCUUAACCUGGGAAUUGCGCUUGAAACUAGGUUGCUAGAGUGUGGCAGAGGGGGGUGGAAUUCCACGUGUAGCAGUGAAAUGCGUAGAGAUGUGGAGGAACACCGAUGGCGAAGGCAGCCCCCUGGGCCAAUACUGACGCUCAUGCACGAAAGCGUGGGGAGCAAACAGG